Pelobates cultripes (western spadefoot toad) is the source of this 202-nucleotide non-coding RNA. The record is from the annotation of a GenBank genome assembly. NCBI's taxonomy places the organism in Eukaryota, Metazoa, Chordata, Amphibia, Anura, Pelobatidae.
CUAUGUCUAAGUCACCCUAUAACCAUUAUAAAGAUAGGAGCAAUCACUAUAAGCAGUGCUGUUUUUACCUGCUUCGGAAGGUGAAGCUGCAGAGGGGACGAUACCUGCCUGGAAAGAAAGCUGAAGAGACAAAGGCAGAGGGGUCAAUACUUGCCUGGAAGAAGGGUGGAAGAGUUCCGGAGUGACCCAAGUUAAGUUUUGG